RNAcentral lists this ribosomal RNA (1205 nucleotides) under Sesame phyllody phytoplasma. Its description in RNAcentral is "bacterial SSU rRNA". It matches the Rfam family "Bacterial small subunit ribosomal RNA", at positions 171 to 1391 of the family's 1533-position model. Lineage: Bacteria; Bacillati; Mycoplasmatota; Mollicutes; Acholeplasmatales; Acholeplasmataceae. The record is from RNAcentral.
GCAUCUUGUAUCUUUUAAAAGACCUAGUUAAUAGGUAUGCUUUAGGAGGGGCUUGCGCCAUAUUAGUUAGUUGGUAGGGUAAUGGCCUACCAAGACGAUGAUGUGUAGCUGGACUGAGAGGUUGAACAGCCACAUUGGGACUGAGACACGGCCCAAACUCCUACGGGAGGCAGCAGUAGGGAAUUUUCGGCAAUGGAGGAAACUCUGACCGAGCAACGCCGCGUGAAUGACGAAGUACUUCGGUAUGUAAAGUUCUUUUAUCGAGGAAGAAAAGCAAAUGGCGAACCAUUUGUUUGCCGGUACUUGAUGAAUAAGCCCCGGCUAAUUAUGUGCCAGCAGCCGCGGUAAGACAUAAGGGGCAAGUGUUAUCCGGAAUUAUUGGGCGUAAAGGGUGCGUAGGCGGUCUAGUAAGUCAGUGGUGUAAUGUCAACGCUUAACGUUGUCCGGCUAUUGAAACUGCUAAACUUGAGUUAGAUAGAGGCGAGUGGAAUUCCAUGUGUAGCGGUAAAAUGCGUAAAUAUAUGGAGGAACACCAGAGGCGUAGGCGGCUCGCUGGGUCUUAACUGACGCUGAGGCACGAAAGCGUGGGGAGCAAACAGGAUUAGAUACCCUGGUAGUCCACGCCGUAAACGAUGAGUACUAAGUGUCGGGUUAAACCGGUACUGAAGUUAACACAUUAAGUACUCCGCCUGAGUAGUACGUACGCAAGUAUGAAACUUAAAGGAAUUGACGGGACUCCGCACAAGCGGUGGAUCAUGUUGUUUAAUUCGAAGAUACCCGAAAAACCUUACCAGGUCUUGACAUGUUUUUGCAAAAUGAUAGUAAUAUCGUGGAGGUUACCAGAAACACAGGUGGUGCAUGGUUGUCGUCAGCUCGUGUCGUGAGAUGUUAGGUUAAGUCCUAAAACGAGCGAAACCCUUAUCGUUAGUUGCCAGCACGUUAUGGUGGGGACUUUAACGAGACUGCCAAUGAUAAAUUGGAGGAAGGUGAGGAUCACGUCAAAUCAGCAUGCCCCUUAUGACCUGGGCUACAAACGUGAUACAAUGGCUGUUACAAAGGGUAGCUGAAACGCAAGUUCUUGGCCAAUCCCCAAAAACAGUCCCAGUCCGGAUUGAAGUCUGCAACUCGACUUCAUGAAGUUGGAAUCGCUAGUAAUCGCGAAUCAGCAUGUCGCGGUGAAUACGUUCUCGGGGUUUGUACACACC